ACGGAAGGCAGCAGUGGGGGAUAUUGCACAAUGGGGGAAACCCUGAUGCAGCGACGCCGCGUGAGUGAAGAAGUAUUUCGGUAUGUAAAGCUCUAUCAGCAGGAAAGAUAAUGACGGUACCUGACUAAGAAGCACCGGCUAAAUACGUGCCAGCAGCCGCGGUAAUACGGAAGGUCCGAGCGUUAUCCGGAUUUAUUGGGUUUAAAGGGAGCGUAGGUGGGUCUGUAAGUCAGCCGUCAAAUCGCGCAGCUCAACUGCGCCCAGCGGUUGAAACUGCAGACCUUGAGUGCACAAGAGGGCGGUGGAAUUCGUGGUGUAGCGGUGAAAUGCUUAGAUAUCACGAAGAACUCCGAUUGCGAAGGCAGCCGCCUGGGGUGCAACUGACACUGAGGCUCGAAGGUGCGGGAAUCAAACAGGAUUAGAUACCCUGGUA
This 433-nucleotide ribosomal RNA is filed under the name uncultured Lachnospiraceae bacterium. RNAcentral describes it as "bacterial SSU rRNA". It matches the Rfam family "Bacterial small subunit ribosomal RNA", at positions 341 to 792 of the family's 1533-position model. The record is from RNAcentral. Lineage: Bacteria; Bacillati; Bacillota; Clostridia; Lachnospirales; Lachnospiraceae.